RNAcentral lists this ribosomal RNA (678 nucleotides) under Hebeloma hiemale. RNAcentral's name for it is "eukaryotic LSU rRNA". The stretch from base 282 to 435 matches the Rfam family "5.8S ribosomal RNA". Lineage: Eukaryota; Fungi; Basidiomycota; Agaricomycetes; Agaricales; Hymenogastraceae. The record is from RNAcentral.
GUCGUAACAAGGUUUCCGUAGGUGAACCUGCGGAAGGAUCAUUAUUGAAUGAAUUUGGUGUGGUUGUUGCUGGCCUUCUUGGAGGCAUGUGCACACCUACCAUCCUCAUCUCUCCACCUGUGCACCUCUUGUAGAUUUGGAAUUGAUUAUCCGAGGCAACUCGGUCGUGAGGACUGCUAGCACCUAGCUGGCUUUCUUUGCAAUUCCAGGUCUAUGUUUUCAUAUACCCCAUUGUAUGUAACAGAAUGUAUCAUUGGGCCUUGUGCCUAUAAACCUUAUACAACUUUCAGCAACGGAUCUCUUGGCUCUCGCAUCGAUGAAGAACGCAGCGAAAUGCGAUAAGUAAUGUGAAUUGCAGAAUUCAGUGAAUCAUCGAAUCUUUGAACGCACCUUGCGCUCCUUGGUAUUCCGAGGAGCAUGCCUGUUUGAGUGUCAUUAAAUUCUCAACCGUUAUCAACUUUUGCUGAUAAUGGCUUGGAUGUGGGGGUUUAUUUUGCUGGCUUCUCAGAUAGUCAGCUCCCCUUGAAUGCAUUAGCCGGUGCCCCCGCGUGGACUGUCUUUGGUGUGAUAAUUAUCUACGCUAUGGACAUCUGCAAUCAUAUGGGUUUGCACUGCUUCCACAGUCUGUUAAAGACAAUACAUGACAAUUGACCUCAAAUCAGGGAGGACUACCCGCUG